GAUCACAUGCCAGGAUGGAUACCGGGCAACCUGAACAAGGGUCACCUAGACUGGUUUUACUUCCUCUUAGCUGGACUAACGACAAUUGACUUGAUUGUCUACAUAGCAUGCGCCCGAUGGUACAAGAGUAUCAAGCUGGAAGGAAAAACUGCAGAAAAUAUUGAUGACCAAGUUAGCUUUAAGCUAUAAUAUAUACAUAUCGGUGCUAAAACAUAUAAAUAACGGUAUAGAUUAAUAGAAUAAUGAGGAAACUGGGUUAGAGGGUUGGUACCCAACAUGAUGAUGUUGAGAAAUUAAAGAUUUAAGUCGAAAGAAAAGUGGGGUAUCGUGAGAGAGAAGUCAAUUUUCC
RNAcentral lists this long non-coding RNA (349 nucleotides) under Gossypium barbadense (sea-island cotton). RNAcentral's name for it is "long non-coding RNA (GBAR_LNC007606)". The record is from RNAcentral. Lineage: Eukaryota; Viridiplantae; Streptophyta; Magnoliopsida; Malvales; Malvaceae.